AUGAUACUGUCCGACCUCGCGGCCGAUGCCAGCAGCGACCAGAACCUCACGGAAGAACAGGUUGAGUUCUUCCAGCAGAUCGCCGACAUCAUGAGUCAAGGCGGUUGCCCGGAGAUGGAGACGGAGGAGUCGGUGCCAUCGUCGUACACGAGCGGGCGCAGCGUGCUGAGGGUGUCUACAUGGGCGAGGCUGGUCCAGCUGAAUUUCCUGAAGCGGUUCCUCAACAAGGGUUUCCGUAAGCACCUCCAAGACAACCCGCUCUUCCGGGAACAGGUGGACUCCAGCGACGCCGUAGACGAGGCCGACGAACAGCCGGCCGGGAAGGGCAGGCGGCGCGGGGGUGGGAGGGAGAAACGGUGGAGUUCGGCCAUGAGGAGAGAUCGCGACAUCGUAUGGGAGAGCAAGAAUGGUUUCUCCCUGUAUGAUUAG
Molecule: ribosomal RNA, 429 nt
Filed under: Triticum aestivum (bread wheat)
Lineage: Eukaryota; Viridiplantae; Streptophyta; Magnoliopsida; Poales; Poaceae
Description: partial small subunit ribosomal RNA
Source: RNAcentral